GCAGUAGCCGCGGUAAUACGUAGGGUGCAAGCGUUAAUCGGAAUUACUGGGCGUAAAGCGUGCGCAGGCGGUUAUAUAAGACAGAUGUGAAAUCCCCGGGCUCAACCUGGGAACUGCAUUUGUGACUGUAUAGCUAGAGUACGGCAGAGGGGGAUGGAAUUCCGCGUGUAGCAGUGAAAUGCGUAGAUAUGCGGAGGAACACCGAUGGCGAAGGCAAUCCCCUGGGCCUGUACUGACGCUCAUGCACGAAAGCGUGGGGAGCAAACAGGAUUAGAUACCCCGGUAGUCCCUGUCUCUUAUAC
This 302-nucleotide ribosomal RNA is filed under the name uncultured bacterium. RNAcentral describes it as "partial 16S ribosomal RNA". It matches the Rfam family "Bacterial small subunit ribosomal RNA", at positions 508 to 807 of the family's 1533-position model. The record is from RNAcentral.